AUUGAACGCUGGCGGCGUGCCUAACACAUGCAAGUCGAGCGGUAACAGGUGUAGCAAUACAUGCUGACGAGCGGCGGACGGGUGAGCAAUAUUUGGGAAUCUGCCUAUUAGUGGGGGAUAACCCGGGGAAACUCGGGCUAAUACCGCAUACGCUCUACGGAGGAAAGCCGGGGACCGCAAGGCCUGGCGCUAGUAGAUGAGCCCAAAUCGGAUUAGCUAGUUGGUGAGGAACGGCUCACCAAGGCGACGAUCCGUAGCUGGUUUGAGAGAACGACCAGCCACACCGGAACUGAGACACGGUCCGGACUCCUACGGGAGGCAGCAGUGGGGAAUAUUGGACAAUGGGCGAAAGCCUGAUCCAGCGACGCCGCGUGGGUGAAGAAGGCCUGCGGGUUGUAAAGCCCUUUCGGUUGGGAAGAAAAGUAUUGGCCUAAUACGCUAGUACCUUGACGUAACCAACAAAAGAAGCACCGGCUAACUCUGUGCCAGCAGCCGC
RNAcentral lists this ribosomal RNA (496 nucleotides) under uncultured bacterium. Its description in RNAcentral is "bacterial SSU rRNA". It matches the Rfam family "Bacterial small subunit ribosomal RNA", at positions 29 to 518 of the family's 1533-position model. The record is from RNAcentral.